AUUUGUGGCCAUGCCUGCUUGGCUAUGACGAUCUUGUCAGAUCUUAAAAGCUAAGCAAGGUUAGGGCCUGUUUAGUAAUUGGAUGGGAGACCGCAGAGAAGAUCAGGUGACACAGUGG
This 118-nucleotide ribosomal RNA is filed under the name Periophthalmus magnuspinnatus. The record is from RNAcentral. Lineage: Eukaryota; Metazoa; Chordata; Actinopteri; Gobiiformes; Gobiidae.